UAAUUUGUCUUUUCACUCUUCUUUGGAUCUUCAAUUCUCCCUAUAAGGUCUUUUUUUUUCUCUCUCUCUCUCUCUCUCUCUCAUGUUCUAAAUAUAUAAUUUUCAUGUUUGAGACUGACUAGCUAAUUAUAAGAAGUUGUUUAAUUUGUGCAGUGUUAUUGUAUAGUUCUUGAUUUUAGAAACUGGUCUUCAUUUUGUUUUUUCGGCACAAGCUAGCUGCUCUCGGUUGUCC
RNAcentral lists this long non-coding RNA (232 nucleotides) under Panax ginseng (ginseng). Its description in RNAcentral is "long non-coding RNA (PGIN_LNC014426)". Lineage: Eukaryota; Viridiplantae; Streptophyta; Magnoliopsida; Apiales; Araliaceae. The record is from RNAcentral.